RNAcentral lists this ribosomal RNA (2916 nucleotides) under Vibrio parahaemolyticus. RNAcentral's name for it is "bacterial LSU rRNA". It matches the Rfam family "Bacterial large subunit ribosomal RNA". Lineage: Bacteria; Pseudomonadati; Pseudomonadota; Gammaproteobacteria; Vibrionales; Vibrionaceae. The record is from RNAcentral.
GUUGUAUGGUUAAGUGACUAAGCGUACACGGUGGAUGCCUUGGCAGUCAGAGGCGAUGAAAGACGUAGUAACUUGCGAUAAGCCCAGAUUAGGUAGUAACAACCAUUUGAGUCUGGGAUUUCUGAAUGGGGAAACCCACKUGCAUAAGCAMGUAUCMUUAMCUGAAUACAUAGGKUAAKGAGGCGAACCGGGGGAACUGAAACAUCUAAGUACCCCGAGGAAAAGAAAUCAACCGAGAUUCCGAAAGUAGCGGCGAGCGAAAUUGGACUAGCCCUUAAGCUUUACACGCGUUAGACGAACGGUCUGGAAAGUCCGACGAUACAGGGUGAUAGUCCCGUAGUUGACGACGUGUGUUCAGUGAAAUCGAGUARGGCGGGACACGUGAUAUCCUGUCUGAAUAUGGGGGGACCAUCCUCCAAGGCUAAAUACUACUGACUGACCGAUAGUGAACCAGUACCGUGAGGGAAAGGCGAAAAGAACCCCUGUGAGGGGAGUGAAAUAGAACCUGAAACCGUGUACGUACAAGCAGUAGGAGCAGGCUUUGUCCUGUGACUGCGUACCUUUUGUAUAAUGGGUCAGCGACUUAUAUUCAGUGGCAAGGUUAACCAUCUAGGGGAGCCGUAGGGAAACCGAGUCUUAACUGGGCGUUCAGUCUCUGGAUAUAGACCCGAAACCAGGUGAUCUAGCCAUGGGCAGGUUGAAGGUUGAGUAACAUCAACUGGAGGACCGAACCGACUAAUGUUGAAAAAUUAGCGGAUGACUUGUGGCUAGGGGUGAAAGGCCAAUCAAACCUGGAGAUAGCUGGUUCUCCCCGAAAGCUAUUUAGGUAGCGCCUCGGACGAAUACUACUGGGGGUAGAGCACUGUUAAGGCUAGGGGGUCAUCCCGACUUACCAACCCUUUGCAAACUCCGAAUACCAGUAAGUACUAUCCGGGAGACACACGGCGGGUGCUAACGUCCGUCGUGGAGAGGGAAACAACCCAGACCGCCAGCUAAGGUCCCAAAUUACUACUAAGUGGGAAACGAUGUGGGAAGGCUCAGACAGCCAGGAUGUUGGCUUAGAAGCAGCCAUCAUUUAAAGAAAGCGUAAUAGCUCACUGGUCGAGUCGGCCUGCGCGGAAGAUGUAACGGGGCUAAGUAGUAAACCGAAGCUGCGGCAAURURCUUUUGYAYAUUGGGUAGGGGAGCGUUCUGUAAGCGGUUGAAGGUGUGUGGUAACGCAUGCUGGACGUAUCAGAAGUGCGAAUGCUGACAUGAGUAACGAUAAAGGGGGUGAAAAACCUCCUCGCCGGAAGACCAAGGGUUCCUGUCCAACGUUAAUCGGGGCAGGGUAAGUCGACCCCUAAGGCGAGGCCGAAAGGCGUAGUCGAUGGGAAACGGGUUAAUAUUCCCGUACUUCUUACAAUUGCGAUGGGGGGACGGAGAAGGCUAGGUGGGCCUGGCGACGGUUGUCCAGGUUCAAGUGCGUAGGCUUAAGAGUUAGGUAAAUCCGGCUCUUUUUAAGGCUGAGACACGACGUCGAGCUACUACGGUAGUGAAGUCAUUGAUGCCAUGCUUCCAGGAAAAGCCUCUAAGCUUCAGAUUGUAAGGAAUCGUACCCCAAACCGACACAGGUGGUCGGGUAGAGAAUACCAAGGCGCUUGAGAGAACUCGGGUGAAGGAACUAGGCAAAAUGGUACCGUAACUUCGGGAGAAGGUACGCUCUYGAYGGUGAAGUCCCUCGCGGAUGGAGCURWYGAGAGUCGCAGAUACCAGGUGGCUGCAACUGUUUAUUAAAAACACAGCACUGUGCAAAAUCGUAAGAUGACGUAUACGGUGUGACGCCUGCCCGGUGCCGGAAGGUUAAUUGAUGGGGUUAGACUUCGGUCGAAGCUCUUGAUCGAAGCCCCGGUAAACGGCGGCCGUAACUAUAACGGUCCUAAGGUAGCGAAAUUCCUUGUCGGGUAAGUUCCGACCUGCACGAAUGGCGUAAUGAUGGCCACGCUGUCUCCACCCGAGACUCAGUGAAAUUGAAAUCGCUGUGAAGAUGCAGUGUACCCGCGGCUAGACGGAAAGACCCCGUGAACCUUUACUACAGCUUGGCACUGAACAUUGACCCUACAUGUGUAGGAUAGGUGGGAGGCUUUGAAGCACGUACGCCAGUAUGUGUGGAGCCGUCCUUGAAAUACCACCCUUGUAGUGUUGAUGUUCUAACGUCGACCCCUUAUCGGGGUUGCGGACAGUGCCUGGUGGGUAGUUUGACUGGGGCGGUCUCCUCCCAAAGAGUAACGGAGGAGCACGAAGGUGGGCUAAUCACGGUUGGACAUCGUGAGGUUAGUGCAAUGGCAUAAGCCCGCUUGACUGCGAGAAUGACAAUUCGAGCAGGUGCGAAAGCAGGUCAUAGUGAUCCGGUGGUUCUGAAUGGAAGGGCCAUCGCUCAACGGAUAAAAGGUACUCCGGGGAUAACAGGCUGAUACCGCCCAAGAGUUCAUAUCGACGGCGGUGUUUGGCACCUCGAUGUCGGCUCAUCACAUCCUGGGGCUGAAGUCGGUCCCAAGGGUAUGGCUGUUCGCCAUUUAAAGUGGUACGCGAGCUGGGUUUAGAACGUCGUGAGACAGUUCGGUCCCUAUCUGCCGUGGGCGUUGGAAGAUUGAAGGGGGCUGCUCCUAGUACGAGAGGACCGGAGUGGACGAACCUCUGGUGUUCGGGUUGUGUCGCCAGACGCAUUGCCCGGUAGCUAAGUUCGGAAUCGAUAACCGCUGAAAGCAUCUAAGCGGGAAGCGAGCCCUGAGAUGAGUCUUCCCUGAUACUUUAAGUAUCCUAAAGGGUUGUCGGAGACUACGACGUUGAUAGGUCAGGUGUGUAAGUGCUGUGAGGCAUUGAGCUAACUGAUACUAAUUGCCCGUGAGGCUUAACCAUACAACACCCAAGGGGUUU